AACGAACGCUAGCGGCAGGCUUAACACAUGCAAGUCGAACGGAUUUCCCCUCGCUUGCGGGGGGGAAUUAGUGGCAGACGGGUGCGUAACACGUGGGUACUUACCCGGUAGUAUGGAAUAGUCACCGGAAACGGUGGGUAAUACCAUAUACUCCUUACGAGGGAAAGAUUUAUCGCUAUCGGAUAGGCCUGCGCUAGAUUAGCUAGUUGGUGUUGGUAAUGGCUCACCAAGGCUUUGAUCUAUAGCCGGUCUGAGAGGAUGAUCGGCCACACUGGAAUUGAGAACGGUCCAGACUUCUACGGAAGGCAGCAGUGGGGAAUAUUGGACAAUGGGCGCAAGCCUGAUCCAGCUAUGCCGCGUGGGUGAUGAAGGUCUUAGGAUUGUAAAGCCCUUUUAGCGAGGAGGAUAAUGACGUUACUCGCAGAAAAAGUCCCGGCUAACUUCG
This 445-nucleotide ribosomal RNA is filed under the name uncultured Alphaproteobacteria bacterium. Its description in RNAcentral is "bacterial SSU rRNA". It matches the Rfam family "Bacterial small subunit ribosomal RNA", at positions 29 to 505 of the family's 1533-position model. Lineage: Bacteria; Pseudomonadati; Pseudomonadota; Alphaproteobacteria. The record is from RNAcentral.